Molecule: long non-coding RNA, 762 nt
Filed under: Sorghum bicolor (sorghum)
Lineage: Eukaryota; Viridiplantae; Streptophyta; Magnoliopsida; Poales; Poaceae
Description: long non-coding RNA (SBIC_LNC008133)
Source: RNAcentral
UUGGUCUGAUGGUUUUGGGGCAUAUAUAUAUUUUUCUAAAUAAUUUCGCAUCUAGAAACGCGCUCGGAAAAGUGGGCCCACAGAGGAGCCAGAGAGAGGGCGGGCGCCCAGGUCAAGUAGGCGGGCGCCCAGCCCCUGUUCCCCCUCGGUCCCGACUUUCUCUGAUAUGAAAAAUGCACUUAGGGUGAUCCGAAUAAUCCCUCGGAUGGAAAGUUUCGCACGCACAUCGACGGAAGCAACCCGAACAACCCAUAGAGUGUAACACCCAAAAUUUUGAAUUUUAAUUAAUAGGAUUUAAUUUGAAUUAUUUAAGAAUUUUAGUGAGCAUUUAAUGUAGCAAAUAAAUAAUUUUUGUGGAAAUUUAAAUUUAUCAUAAGCUUAGUAACAUGAUUUUGUGCAUUCAUGCUGAGACAUAUUUUAUUUUGUGUUGAUUGAAUUUGGUUUGUAUUUAAUUAUCCUCAAAAUCCUUUUCGAAAAAAAAUAAAAGAAAAAAAAGGGGAAGAAAGCCUCCCUAGAAUCUGGCCCAGCUUUCCCUAGCUCGGCCCAGUUCCAGCCGCAGCCAGCAGCAGGCCGAGGCCCAAGAGCGCAAGCGCGCCUCCCCUCCUUUUCUCUUCUGCCGCUGACACCCCGGGCCCACCUGUCGGCGCCCUGUUCUUCUUCUCCACCGUAACAGAACCGGAGACCGAACGAAGAGGGAAAUCCCGGUUUCCUCGGUAUUCCUUCCCAAUCCGCGGGUCAUGCCCCUAUAAAGCUCUCAAACCA